UAAAACGCGAAGAACCUUACCAAAUCUUGACAUCCUUUGACCGCUCUAGAGAUAGAGUCUUCCCCUUCGGGGGACAAAGUGACAGGUGGUGCAUGGUUGUCGUCAGCUCGUGUCGUGAGAUGUUGGGUUAAGUCCCGCAACGAGCGCAACCCUUAAGMUUAGUUGCCAUCAUUAAGUUGGGCACUCUARGUUGACUGCCGGUGACAAACCGGAGGAAGGUGGGGAUGACGUCAAAUCAUCAUGCCCCUUAUGAUUUGGGCUACACACGUGCUACAAUGGAUAAUACAAAGGGCAGCGAAUCCGCGAGGCCAAGCAAAUCCCAUAAAAUUAUUCUCAGUUCGGAUUGUAGUCUGCAACUCGACUACAUGAAGCUGGAAUCGCUAGUAAUCGUAGAUCAGCAUGCUACGGUGAAUACGUUCCCGGGUCUUGUACACACCGAGA
Molecule: ribosomal RNA, 441 nt
Filed under: uncultured Staphylococcus sp.
Lineage: Bacteria; Bacillati; Bacillota; Bacilli; Caryophanales; Staphylococcaceae
Description: bacterial SSU rRNA
Rfam family: Bacterial small subunit ribosomal RNA
Source: RNAcentral